RNAcentral lists this ribosomal RNA (451 nucleotides) under uncultured bacterium. RNAcentral describes it as "partial 16S ribosomal RNA". It matches the Rfam family "Bacterial small subunit ribosomal RNA", at positions 28 to 523 of the family's 1533-position model. The record is from RNAcentral.
AACGAACGCUGGCGGCAUGCCUAACACAUGCAAGUCGGACGCGUGGUUUCGGCCAUGAGUGGCGGACGGGUGAGUAACGCGUGGGAACCUGCCCAUCGGUACGGAACAACCGCGGGAAACUGCGGCUGAUACCGUAUAUACCCUGCGGGGGAAAGAUUUAUCGCCGAUGGAGGGGCCCGCGUCGGAUUAGGUAGUUGGUGGGGUAACGGCCUACCAAGCCUGCGAUCCGUAGCUGGUCUGAGAGGAUGAUCAGCCACACUGGGACUGAGACACGGCCCAGACUCCUACGGGAGGCAGCAGUGGGGAAUAUUGGACAAUGGGGGCAACCCUGAUCCAGCAAUGCCGCGUGAGUGAAGAAGGCCUUAGGGUUGUAAAGCUCUUUCGGCGGGGACGAUGAUGACGGUACCCGCAGAAGAAGCCCCGGCUAACUCCGUGCCAGCCGCCGCCGUAA